Long non-coding RNA from Papaver somniferum (opium poppy), 820 nucleotides. RefSeq lists it as uncharacterized. The transcript is spliced from 2 exons. The record is from RefSeq and is a predicted model, not a curated record. Lineage: Eukaryota; Viridiplantae; Streptophyta; Magnoliopsida; Ranunculales; Papaveraceae.
CUCUUCUCACUAUGUUCUCAGUCUCAGUCUCAGUCUCGCUCCCCCCUCUCGAUUAUUUUAAUCACUCAGUUCUCACUUCUCCAAUAAUUAAUCUCUGAACCAGAUGGAAUCCAAGAUUGGGUUUAAGCGAAAGUUUUCAAUUGAAAACCAAUAAAGCAACAUCAGGAGAAUUCGGAGGAGUUUAUACACGUCCAAGAUUGGAUCGAAAUUAGAUUUGUUCUUGAGCUGGGAAAAGCCAGGAGAUUCAGGUGCUAAAUACUUUGAAUUCCUACAACAACAUGAGUGGAUUGGGGUUUUGACCUAAAAUUAGUGUUCAAUGGCGAAGAACAAUUAUUGCUGGUGGUAGAAGAGACCGGUAGAGCAGCGAAGAUGAUGGAUCUAUUCGGUUUUUAUAUGGUGGCUGAGAGAGUAGACGACGGUGAAGAAGAAGGUGUUGCUGCGAUGGGCUUCAGUAUGUAUUGGUUGUAUGGAGUUCAUAUCAGAGAUGGGUGUUGUUGAUUUCUUAAGACAAGGAAGGCAGACAAAAGGCCUGAAGUUAUGGUGUAAAACCUGCUAGAAAAAGUCUUGAUGCUGUCGAAGUUUGCCUGUAUACAUCGAUGGGUAGGAAUUGGGUUAAAUGGUAGCAGUUUUUGAGAACUUCUUAAUUGAGAAUUCAGCUACACUGGUUGUUGAUACAUAAUACGGGAUUGUUGCUGUGAUGUGGGAUUUUGUCGUAAACGGAAAUAGGUUCAAACUUCGUUUCCAACUGUGAAUACUAUAUAAAAGAGAAAUUAUUUCAGCUGGUGGCUUUAUUUAAUCGUGAGUAAGUGGAUUACAAACA